Molecule: long non-coding RNA, 1596 nt
Organism: Oncorhynchus keta (chum salmon)
Lineage: Eukaryota; Metazoa; Chordata; Actinopteri; Salmoniformes; Salmonidae
Exons: 4
Source: RefSeq, a predicted model, not a curated record
AUGUUACGCUCCGCUCUUUUCAAUGCACAUGUAAGCAAAUGUCCCAAAAAAGACAACCGAAAAUUAGAUCGUCAUUGAUUUAGUGUUGCGCUACUGUUUUUAGGAAUAUAUAUUAGUGUGAAUGGGGAUAAUGUUUGAUUGCAACUUUGCAAGGUUUGCCCAGCCACCGUUACCUUUGCGGGUCUCUCAGGUGCAGACAGCGUGAGUUUUCAGACAGGAAUUCAGCAGUCUUUUGUCUUUUAUCAGGCUGAUAUAGUUGUGUAUGGCAGUCCAGACGGCAGCAUCAAGCUUGGCUUUGUAUUUGUAUCCAUUCCAUGCAGUCACUAAAAGAGAGACAACCAGCAGAAUUGUGUCCAGAGACUUGUCUUCCACCUACACCUCACCAGAACACAACGCAGAAAGCCAAACGUGAUGAACAAAACGGAUCGAUUUCUCCUACACAAAUAAUAUUUUGGGAAAAACGGGACAUUUGCUAUCUAACUGAAAGUCUCCUCAUUGAAAACACCCGAAGUUCUUCAAAGCUGUGUCUAUGGCGCGCAGAUCACCAUCUGCAUUGUUUGUGAUACCGGGAGCACGGGUCCAGGUCCAUUGCAUUUCUAACUGCCAUGGGGAGAAAACGGUCGGCUGAAAACACUCCGGCUCAAGGGCGAAUGACCGCACACCGAGAGGCGAGCGAGCAGAGGCUGUUAAUUCAACAACCAAAUGCAAUUGAUUUUACAUACAAGAACACCAGAAGCUAUCGUCAGAGCUUUGGACUCUAAACGUUUAUAUUUCUUAGUUUUUCUUGUCUAAAACUUCCCCGAUAUUGGGUGUUUGGACUGGAGAGAACGGAAGGUGAGUACAUCAUAAGAGAUGGAGGGAGAGGGGGACUCAUUUAAGGUCAACUUGAGUGUAUCAAUGUGGUACCAUCUGGUAUAUACAGUACUUAGAUGUAGAAAUGCAACCAGUGUUUCUGGCUCUCUCUCUCUUCUGCACUUCCUUUUCUCUGCUUGCUCUCUCCCUUUUUCUCUUUCUAUAUUUUUUUUUCUCUCUCGGUCUCUCUCUCUUUCUAUCUAGGUCUCUAUCUCUCGGUCUCUCUCUCUCUGGCCCCUAGAUCUCUCUCUCUCUGUUUCGCUCUCUAGGUCUCUCUCUCUCUGUCUCUCCCUCUCUGUUUCUCUAUAGGUCUCUCUUUCUAGGUCUCUCUCUAGGUCUCUCUCUCUCCUCUGCCAUCAAGAGUGGAUUUGAUGGAGAUGAAGGAGGAGGGAGACAUCUUUUAAUAUUUAAAUCAAUAUCCUAGAAACAGUUGGUUGACCGUUACUAUGGUAUCACAGGUGGUAAAGGCUCAAUAUACAUCUCAGACUAGAGGGAAGAUACAACUCAGACUAGAGGGAAGAGGAGAUACAACUCAGACUAGAGAGAAGAGGGGAUACAACUCAGACUAGAGGGAAGAGGGGAUACAACUCAGACUAGAGGGAAGAGGGGAUACAACUCAGACUAGAGGGAAGAGGGGAUACAACUCAGACUAGAGGGAAGAGGGGAUACAACUCAGACUAGAGGGAAGAGGGGAUACAACUCAGACUGGAGGGAAGAGGGGAUACAACUCAUACUAGUGGGAAG